This 328-nucleotide unclassified non-coding RNA is filed under the name soil metagenome. Its description in RNAcentral is "partial contains 5.8S ribosomal RNA, internal transcribed spacer 2, and large subunit ribosomal RNA". The stretch from base 1 to 120 matches the Rfam family "5.8S ribosomal RNA", at positions 35 to 154 of the family's 154-position model. The record is from RNAcentral.
GAUGAAGAACGCAGCGAAAUGCGAUAAGUAAUGUGAAUUGCAGAAUUCAGUGAAUCAUCGAAUCUUUGAACGCACAUUGCGCCCCUUGGAAUUCCGAGGGGCAUGCCCGUUCGAGCGUCAUUAUAACCCCUCAAGCUCAGCUUGGUGUUGGGGCCUGCCGCACGGGCAGCCCUUAAAAUCAGUGGCGGUGCUAUCUGGCUCUAAGCGUAGUAAUUCUUCUCGCUAUAGAGUCCCGGUGGAUGCUUGCCAUUAACCCCCAAUUUUCUAUGGUUGACCUCGGAUCAGGUAGGGAUACCCGCUGAACUUAAGCAUAUCAAUAAGCGGAGGA